This 131-nucleotide small RNA is filed under the name Salmonella enterica. RNAcentral's name for it is "RtT sRNA". It matches the Rfam family "RtT RNA". From Rfam's summary of the family: This family represents a bacterial cis-regulatory element known as RtT RNA. The exact function of RtT is unknown although it is thought that it may be involved in changing the cellular response in relation to amino acid starvation. RNAcentral also lists the same sequence under 1 other name. Lineage: Bacteria; Pseudomonadati; Pseudomonadota; Gammaproteobacteria; Enterobacterales; Enterobacteriaceae. The record is from RNAcentral.
UAUUUCUCCGUUCGGGGAAGGAUGAGAAGCUUCGACUAAGGUUCGAUUCGAGCGCAGCGAGAAAGCGUUGCCGCAGGCAACGACCCGAAGGGCGAAGCGCGCAGCGCUGAGUAAUCCUUCCCCCACCACCA